Molecule: ribosomal RNA, 800 nt
Filed under: uncultured bacterium
Lineage: Bacteria
Description: bacterial SSU rRNA
Rfam family: Bacterial small subunit ribosomal RNA
Source: RNAcentral
UAUAAUUGUCAGCUAAGUGGCGCACGGGUGAGUAAUGUAUAGAUAACCUGCCCUUAAGAAAGGAAUAACAGUUGGAAACGACUGCUAAUGCCCUAUAUGCCUUUAAUACAUAAGUAUGCAAGGGAAACGCUUUAGUGCUUAAGGAUGGGUCUGUAUGGUAUCAGCUUGUUGGUGAGGUAAUGGCUCACCAAGGCUAUGACGCCUAACUGGUUUGAGAGGAUGAUCAGUCACACUGGAACUGAGACACGGUCCAGACUCCUACGGGAGGCAGCAGUGGGGAAUAUUGCACAAUGGACGAAAGUCUGAUGCAGCAACGCCGCGUGGAGGAUGACACAUUUCGGUGCGUAAACUCCUUUUAUAUAGGAAGAUAAUGACGGUACUAUAUGAAUAAGCACCGGCUAACUCCGUGCCAGCAGCCGCGGUAAUACGGAGGGUGCAAGCGUUACUCGGAAUCACUGGGCGUAAAGAGCGUGUAGGCGGGUAUAUAAGUCAGAAGUGAAAUCCAAUAGCUCAACUAUUGAACUGCUUUUGAAACUGUAUACCUAGAAUGUGGGAGAGGUAGAUGGAAUUUCUGGGGUAGGGGUAAAAUCCGUAGAGAUCAGAAGGAAUACCGAUUGCGAAGGCGAUCUACUGGAACAUUAUUGACGCUGAGACGCGAAAGCGUGGGGAGCAAACAGGAUUAGAUACCCUGGUAGUCCACGCCCUAAACGAUGUACACUAGUUGUUGUGAGGCUCGACCUUGCAGUAAUGCAGUUAACACAUUAAGUGUACCGCCUGGGGGAGUAUGGUCGCAAGAUUAA